UUGGUCAUAUAGAGGAAAGUAAAAGUCGUUACUAGGNCUCCAGUAGGUGAUCCUGCGGAUGGAUCAUUA
This 69-nucleotide ribosomal RNA is filed under the name Inocybe cf. salicis-herbaceae EL5807. RNAcentral's name for it is "partial 18S ribosomal RNA". The record is from RNAcentral. Lineage: Eukaryota; Fungi; Basidiomycota; Agaricomycetes; Agaricales; Inocybaceae.